RNAcentral lists this long non-coding RNA (1406 nucleotides) under Equus caballus (horse). RNAcentral's name for it is "lncRNA (ENSECAG00000052027.1)". Lineage: Eukaryota; Metazoa; Chordata; Mammalia; Perissodactyla; Equidae. The record is from RNAcentral.
GGGUGGAGCCUCAAGCUUAUGCCUCCAGAGGCCAAUGUCUGCCUCACGUCACAGAACUCCUAGUUCAGAAUGCUUCCUUCAUCUGCAGUUGCUUGCAGCUUAUAUCAAAGUUCAGCAAAUUAUCAAUGUCAUACUUCCACGUGUAACAAAGCUCUCCUGGAAGAAGAUAAGAAGCAGACCCUGGUUCCCUGGGAAUUAUAGUUGUAAGAGAAAACAGCAUUAGAUCACACCACUCUGCUUUGCUUUUAUUUUUUUCUUCUUCUUUGUUAAAAAGUUAACAUAUUAAGCAAUGGGAUUUUUCAGAAACAUGAUCAAUAGCUCGCAAAACGGAUUUGUAACCUAUUUCUACUUUUUGAAAUAUUUCACAAAUCAGGACUUGAAAAACUAACUCCAAAGUUCAUAAAUUGCUUUUGGGAGUAUAAAAUGGUUCAACCACUUUGGAAAAUGGUUUAGCAAUUUCUUAUAAAGUUAAAUAUACACUUACUCUAUGACUCAGCAAUUCUACUGCUAGAGAAAAGAAAACCACACAAAGGCUUGUAUAAGAAUGUUUAUAUCAGUUUUAUUUAUAGUUUCAAAACUUGGAAAUGACCACAUGCCCAUCAACUGGUGAAAGCAUAAACAAAAUGUGGUCUACCCAAACAACUGAAUUCUACUCAGCAAUAAAAAGAAGCCAACCACUGAUACAACAACAUGGAUAAAUCCCAAAAACAUUAUGCUGAGUGAAAGAAGCCAGACUCGAAAGAGGACACGAUUCCAUUUAUAUGGCAUUCUAGAAUAGGCAAAACUAGUACAUGAUAACAGAAAGCAGAUCAGUGGUUGCCUGGGGCUGGGCAUGGAGGACGGUUUAGCUAGGGAGGGGCUCAAAGGAACGUUACAGGGUGAUGGAAAUGUUCUUCAUCUUGUUUAGGGCAGUGGUUUCAGGGGGUGUAUACAUUUGUUAAAACUCAUCUAAUUUUACACUUAAACUGGAAGCUUUUUUUUGGAGAGGAAGAGUGACCCUAAGCUAACACCUGUUGUCAAUCUUCCUCCUUUUACUUGAGGAAGAGUGGCCCUGAGCUAACAUCUGUGCCCAGCUUCCUCUAUUCUGUAUGUGGGUUGCUGCCACAGCAUGGCUGGUGACUGGUGUAGGUCUGCACCCAGGAUUCAAACCCACAAACCUGGGCCACUGAAGCAGAGUAUGCUGAUCUUAACCACUAUGCCACUGGGCUGCCCCCUAAACUGGAUGCAUUUUAUUGCAGGUAAAUUAUAUAUCAAUAAAAUUAAUUUUAAAAGGAAAAAACAAAAGCAAGCCCCCUACCAAAGCAGACAAAACAGAAAACUAACACCAAUAGCCAAAAUUAAGGAAAACCACUUUAAUAUUUUUUUAAAAUAGUCUUGAGUGAUGCACUUGUGACCCUGAAGUUUCC